Molecule: ribosomal RNA, 302 nt
Filed under: uncultured Clostridium sp.
Lineage: Bacteria; Bacillati; Bacillota; Clostridia; Eubacteriales; Clostridiaceae
Description: bacterial SSU rRNA
Rfam family: Bacterial small subunit ribosomal RNA
Source: RNAcentral
AUGAAGGUUUUCGGAUCGUAAAGCUCUGUCUUUGGGGAAGAUAAUGACGGUACCCAAGGAGGAAGCCACGGCUAACUACGUGCCAGCAGCCGCGGUAAUACGUAGGUGGCGAGCGUUAUCCGGAUUUACUGGGCGUAAAGGGAGCGUAGGCGGGAGAUUAAGUCAGCUGUGAAAGUUCGGGGCUCAACCUUGGAAUUGCAGUUGAAACUGGUUUUCUUGAGUGCGGCAGAGGCAGGCGGAAUUCCUGGUGUAGCGGUGAAAUGCGUAGAGAUCAGGAAGAACAUCGGUGGGUCGACGCGGCC